RNAcentral lists this long non-coding RNA (1899 nucleotides) under Homo sapiens (human). Its description in RNAcentral is "non-protein coding LINC01898:6". Lineage: Eukaryota; Metazoa; Chordata; Mammalia; Primates; Hominidae. The record is from RNAcentral.
AGCCAUGCAGCUGCCAUUUUGGAUCUGAGAGAGUUGGCCAUGCAGCAGCGUUUCGGAUCCGAGAGCUGGCCAUGCAGCAGCCAUUAAGGAUCCAAGAGUCGGUCAUGUAGCAGCCAUUUCGGAUCUGAGAGAGUCGGCCAUGCAGCAGCCGUUUGGGAUCUGAGAGUCGGCCAUGCAGCAGCCGUUUGGGAUCUGAGAGAGUCGGCCAUGCAGCAGCCAUUUGUGCAUGCUUCCCUUCUCCCAGCCCCACAGGAGACUGACUCUGCAUCCUGCCUCCUUUCAAAUGCAUCCUGUGCCAACAGUUUCUGAAAACGGAUAAACAAAUUGACAACCUCAAAUGCAAAGAUGAAACAUUUCUCCAGAUCAUCAGGCACAUGGUUUACUCAGGCCCAGAGGAGUGAGCUGAUAUAAAGAAGCUGUGCCACACAGUCGGAUGGGGUCCGAAGGAAACAAUAGGGCUGAGUGAUGAGUAUUGAAGAAGAAAUCUAAAGAAAGAAUGUCUUAUCAGCUGACCGCAAAGCUGCCUCCUUCUACCUGGCCACAUUGCUUAUCUAUUGUACUGCGUCUCUCUUGGAUGGAAACGAUACACCAAUCACUCAUAAGUGAAUAAUUUCCUUCUAAAUCACAGGCCUACACCUGAGGUGGCUGCCACAGGUGUAACCUGUUUAGACCAGCAAUUAUAUUUACUCCAUGAUGACAGAAAACAGGAAAGAUGUAUCAUACAGUGCAUUUGCUCCUGCUAUUUAUAAAUAGACCUCUUUACAUUAGCACUACAUAUGACUGUCUCAUCCACUUAUCAGCAAUUUAAUAUAUCACAGACAACAUGGGUUAAAAGCAAAAUAAGUUUCAAACACUAACCUCAGUUUACUCAUAAAUAUUUCACUUCUACAAACCUUGUUUAUUCAAGCUAUGGUUCUAUACAAAUUGGCAAGUCAUUCUUUAUUUUACUUUUCUGUGGUUCUAGACCCUUCUAGACUAAAGAUCUCUGACUUUACUGCUGCCUUUUCUAGAUGUUUUCCUGAGUACACAUGUGAGCUUAUUGUUAACAUCAGUCUCUUUCCCUUUAAGAACUGGUUUUUUUCUGAUGGCUGUGGUCUAAGAGAGCUCACUCUGGAUUUCUCUCUGUUAGUUUUCUAACAUAACCCACAGUGAUAAAUCUAUUUUAUGUUGGGAAUAAGGGAAUAUUUAUACGUAAAGUCAAACAAAAUUGAAGUUUACUUAUGCUUUUUUGCACUUUGAUAUUUUCUAUAUAUUCUGCCAUGUUCCCUAAUAUUCUCUGUUAUUCUAUUUUAUUUUUAAGAAAAUGAUUGGUCUCUACCCUCACAAUGAUUCUGCAAUCCACUGUGGGAACAUGACGCACAGCCUCGAGCCACUGUGGGAGCUUCCUCAUCAGAAGGGAGGGGUACCAGGGGGUGUGGUGAUGUGGCCCUAGGUGCGGGAAUUUCCAAAAGGGAAGCUCUGGUAGCAGCCUCUCAUCUAUAGUAUCAUAUUUUCAGUGUCAUCGUAACGCAGAGAAGUAGAAGAUUCAAGACUUUGGAAAACAGCCAUUUUCUCUCAAUUACAAGAAUAAUAACAGUAUUUGAAAGAUCCUAAAAGUGGUGAAGAUGGAGUAAGUGUUUGGUAGGGAAUCCCUGCCCUGGCUGAUCAUUAUGUCUGCCUUGGCUGUACAUGUGAUCUUGGUGGCAUUUCUGGACUAUCACCCAGAGAGGUGGGUUAAGACUGGUUAAGACCGCAGAGUCAGACCGCUUGGAGUUGAAUCCUGACACCACCGCAUUCUAGCUGUGUGACUUUAGAAAGUCCCUUAGCCUCUAUGAAAUUUAGUUUGCUCAAUCAGAAAAAGAGAAUAAUGACACUGUUCAUCUUACAGAAUUGUUGCAAGGAUUAAAUAAACUAUCAGAU